AUAAGUUUAAUCGUUUAUCGAGAAACCGCGAACGGCUCAUUACAAUGGCCAUUAUUUACUUGAUCUUGAUUGUCUAAAUGGAUAACUGUGGAAAAGCUAGAGCUAAUACAUGCACUAAAGCUUUGUCCUUACGGAAAAGCGCAUUUAUUAGAACAAAACCACGCGGCUUCGGCUGCUUCUUGUUGACUCAGAAUAACUUAGCUGACCGCAUGGCCUUGUGCCGGCGGCGUGUCUUUCAAGCGUCCACUUUAUCAACUUGACGGGAGCAUAAUCGACUCCCGUGGUGGUGACGGAUAACGGAGGAUCAGGGUUCGACUCCGGAGAAGGGGCCUGAGAAAUGGCCACUACGUCUAAGGAUGGCAGCAGGCGCGCAAAUUACCCACUCUCGGCUCGAGGAGGUAGUGACGAGAAAUAACGAGACUGUUCUCUUUGAGGCCGGUCAUCGGAAUGGGUACAAUUUAAACCCUUUAACGAGUAUCAAGCAGAGGGCAAGUCUGGUGCCAGCAGCCGCGGUAAUUCCAGCUCUGCAAAUACAUAGAAUUAUUGCUGCGGUUAGAAAGCUCAUAGUUGGAUUCGUAUCGAUACCUUGGAACCCUUCGGGUGUCUCUAGGUGUUAUCGAUUUAUCGUAAUGUUCGGUUUUGAGUCCUUAACAGGAUUCUUAACAGGCAUUGCAAGUUUACUUUGAACAAAUCAGAGUGCUUCAAACAGGCGUUUUCGCUUGAAUGAUCGUGCAUGGAAUAAUAGAAAAUGAUUUCGGUUCAGUUUUAUUGGUUUUACGGACUGAGAUAAUGGUUAACAGAGACAAACGGGGGCAUUUGUAUGGUCCCGUGAGAGGUGAAAUUCUUGGACCGUGGCCAGACAAACUACAGCGAAAGCAUUUGCCAAGAAUGUUUUUAUUAAUCAAGAACGAAAGUCAGAGGUUCGAAGGCGAUCAGAUACCGCCCUAGUUCUGACCGUAAACGAUGCCAACUAGCGAUCCGCCGAUGGAAAUUAUAUUGCCUUGGUGGGGAGCUUCCCGGAAACGAAAGUCUUCCGGUUCCGGGGGAAGUAUGGUUGCAAAGCUGAAACUUAAAGGAAUUGACGGAAGGGCACCACCAGGAGUGGAGCCUGCGGCUUAAUUUGACUCAACACGGGGAAACUCACCCGGCCCGGACACUGUGAGGAUUGACAGAUUGAUAGCUUUUUCAUGAUUCAGUGGAUGGUGGUGCAUGGCCGUUCUUAGUUCGUGGAGUGAUUUGUCUGGUUUAUUCCGAUAACGAGCGAGACUCUAACCUACUAAAUAGUUGGUACAUACUCUUAGUGUAUACAGCUUCUUAGAGGGAUUUGCGGCGUUCAGCCGAAAGAAAUUGAGCAAUAACAGGUCUGUGAUGCCCUUAGAUGUCCGGGGCUGCACGCGCGCUACACUGGCAAAAUCAACGUGCUUGUCCUACCCUGAAAGGGGCGGGUAAACCAUUGAAAAUUUGCCGUGAUUGGGAUCGGAAAUUGCAAUUAUUUUCCGUGAACGAGGAAUUCCAAGUAAGUGCGAGUCAUCAGCUCGCGUUGAUUACGUCCCUGCCCUUUGUACACACCGCCCGUCGCUGCCCGGGACUGAGCCAUUUCGAGAAAUUUGGGGACCGUUGAUUUAAUUUUUCUAAAUUACUUUGAUGGAAACCAA
RNAcentral lists this ribosomal RNA (1655 nucleotides) under Meloidogyne floridensis. RNAcentral's name for it is "SSU rRNA". It matches the Rfam family "Eukaryotic small subunit ribosomal RNA". Lineage: Eukaryota; Metazoa; Nematoda; Chromadorea; Rhabditida; Meloidogynidae. The record is from RNAcentral.